UAGGGAAUCUUCGGCAAUGGGGGGAACCCUGACCGAGCAACGCCGCGUGAGUGAAGAAGGUUUUCGGAUCGUAAAGCUCUGUUGUUAAGGAAGAACGAGUGUGAGAAUGGAAAGUUCAUACUGUGACGGUACUUAACCAGAAAGGGACGGCUAACUACGUGCCAGCAGCCGCGGUAAUACGUAGGUCCCGAGCGUUGUCCGGAUUUAUUGGGCGUAAAGCGAGCGCAGGCGGUUAGAAAAGUCUGAAGUGAAAGGCAGUGGCUCAACCAUUGUAGGCUUUGGAAACUGUUUAACUGGAGUGCAGAAGGGGAGAGUGGAAUUCCAUGUGUAGCGGUGAAAUGCGUAGAUAUAUGGAGGAACACCGGUGGCGAAAGCGGCUCUCUGGUCUGUAACUGACGCUGAGGCUCGAAAGCGUGGGGAGCGAACAGG
RNAcentral lists this ribosomal RNA (429 nucleotides) under Bacteroidota bacterium. RNAcentral's name for it is "Bacteroidetes bacterium partial 16S ribosomal RNA". It matches the Rfam family "Bacterial small subunit ribosomal RNA", at positions 355 to 776 of the family's 1533-position model. Lineage: Bacteria; Pseudomonadati; Bacteroidota. The record is from RNAcentral.